This 32-nucleotide non-coding RNA is filed under the name Homo sapiens (human). Lineage: Eukaryota; Metazoa; Chordata; Mammalia; Primates; Hominidae. The record is from RNAcentral.
AGGCUCUGGUAUGAUGUGACGUACUUUCCUGC